This is a long non-coding RNA of Oreochromis aureus, 526 nucleotides long. RefSeq lists it as uncharacterized. The transcript is spliced from 2 exons. NCBI's taxonomy places the organism in Eukaryota, Metazoa, Chordata, Actinopteri, Cichliformes, Cichlidae. The record is from RefSeq and is a predicted model, not a curated record.
GAGGGCGUGGCAGAGCAUGAGAGGGGGAGAGAGAAAUGGAGUGGUAGCCCAGUGGCAGGCGGUUGUCGCAAGGAGCGGCACGGAAGCCGGAAGAGGCAGUCUAGGAGGAGAGAAGACGGAGGACAUCCGCGCGACUGGGGGACAAGCGGAGAAGUAACGCCAAACGCCGGGCGGGAGACGAGAUACUUGAUACGAGCUUGAGCCUAUGACAGCGGCGGGCGAAGUUCGGUGUUGGAUCACUUGGUGAUGAUGUCUGAAGACCACCCGAGGGGACGUGGACAGAAAAUACCUCCAACAAAUCUGCAUGUUUGCAUGUUGGGUUGUAAUGAGCAGUGCAGUUAAACAGCAGGAUGAAUGAUAUUGUACUUGCUCUUUUUAAAGAAUAUUAUAAACUAUAUGAAUAAUUGAAUAUAUUUUUUUUCUUAUAUUUGAAUCCCAAUAACUGACUGAAAAGUCUGUCAGUCCUGCAUUUUGUUUUGUUAUUUUAUGAAGAAAUGGAUCAAUAAAAGUAAUUGUCAAAUGUGUA